ACUGGCCCUAACUUAAUGCUCAUUCAGACCCCACCGAAAGGCGUUGGUUGCUCUAGACAGCAGGACGGUGGCCAUGGAAGUCGGAAUCCGCUAAGGAGUGUGUAACAACUCACCUGCCGAAGCAACUAGCCCUUAAAAUGGUAUGGCGCUGAAGCAUUGUCCCGAUACUCGACCGCCGGGGCACUAGCGGCCACGUCCCAGAGGCGGGGUCUCGAAGCCCCGGUGAGUAAGAGGGUUGCAGUGGUGAGCGCUGAAGGGAUCCGGCGUGAGCCGGCCUGGAGCCGCCACUGGUGCAGAUCUUGGUGGUAGUAGCAAAUACUCGAGAGAGACUCCCUUGAAGACCGAUGUGGGGAAGGGUUCCAUGUGAACAUCAGUUGGACAUGGGUCAGUCGCUCCUAAGCCCAAGGCUAAGGCCUGAUCCCAUGCUAGCGGC
RNAcentral lists this ribosomal RNA (433 nucleotides) under Euastacus reductus. Its description in RNAcentral is "eukaryotic LSU rRNA". It matches the Rfam family "Eukaryotic large subunit ribosomal RNA", at positions 1182 to 1582 of the family's 3401-position model. Lineage: Eukaryota; Metazoa; Arthropoda; Malacostraca; Decapoda; Parastacidae. The record is from RNAcentral.